Pseudonaja textilis is the source of this 194-nucleotide non-coding RNA. The record is from RefSeq and is a predicted model, not a curated record. Lineage: Eukaryota; Metazoa; Chordata; Lepidosauria; Squamata; Elapidae.
UGGGUCUAAUUCUUGUAAAGGAUCAAACCUGAGAGUUUUUGGAGAGUAUUUUUGCUAUUCCAGCCAACCAACAGAAAAAGCUGCCUAGUCUUGUGAUGGCUGAGCAAAAACUGGCGGAUGCUAGGGAGGAGUACCAUGGAGGAGGAGGAGUGUCCUUGUAAUUAAGCCCAGCCUAUCUGAGGAGAGACUGAAGC